UAUAGAGGAACUCCGUCUAAGAACGCCACGUCCAGUGGCAAUGACUGGGUGCCCAACAUCGUG
Molecule: small RNA, 63 nt
Filed under: Lysinibacillus xylanilyticus
Lineage: Bacteria; Bacillati; Bacillota; Bacilli; Caryophanales; Bacillaceae
Description: Bacillaceae-1 RNA
Rfam family: Bacillaceae-1 RNA
Source: RNAcentral